GAGUGGCGAAAGGGCGAGUAAUGCAUAGGUAACGUACCCCAAGCCCAGGGAUAGCCGCGGGAAACUAGCGGAUAAUACCUGACGAGACCACAGCUCCACCAGGAGCAGGGGUCAAAGGUGGGGACCUUCGGGCCUAUACGGCCUAGGGAGCGGCCCAUAUACCUAUACAGCUUGUUGGUGAGGUAACGGCUACACCAAGGCGACGACGGGUAGCGGGACUAGAGAGGUAGGCCCGCCGCACUGGGACUGAGACACUGCCCAGACUCCUACGGGAGGCUGCAGUAACGAAUACUAGUCCAAUGGGCGCAAGCCUAGAGACAGCAAUAGCCGCGUAGCGGGACGAAGUCCUUCGGGAUAGUAAAACCGCUAGUCAGGGGUUAGGAAGCAAUGAGGGCCAAUACCCCUUAAACGUAGACCAGCCCCAGAGGAAGCCACGGCUAACUAUCGUGCCAGCAGCCGCGGUAAUAACGAAGGUGGCGAGCGUAAUAUCGGAAUCACUGGGCUUAAAGAGCACGUAGGCGGACAGUCAAGCGUCUUGUGAAAUCCCUCGGCUUAACCGAGGAACUGCUUGGCGAAACUGGCUGUCUUGAGGCAAGUAAGGGCGCGUGGAACUCUUGGUGGACCGGUGGAAUGCGUAGAUAUCAAGAGGAACGCCGGAGGUGAAGACGGCGCGCUGGGCUUGUCCUGACGCUGAGGUGCGAAAGCCAGGGGAGCGAACGGGAUUAGAUACCCCGGUAGUCCUGGCCCUAAACGAUGUCCACUAGGUCGAUGGUUCUCUGACGGAUUGUCGGCCGAAACCAAAGCGUUAAGUGGACCGCCUGGGGAGUACGGUCGCAAGGCUAAAACUCAAAGGAAUUGACGGGGACUCACACAAGCGGUGGAGCAUGUUGCUUAAUUCGAUGCAACGCGAAGAACCUUAUCCUGGGCUUGACAUGUAUGGAUGCCUACCUGGAAACAGGAUCGGUUGCCCUUCGGGGUGAAACUUACACAGGUGCUGCAUGGCUGUCGUCAGCUCGUGUCGUGAGAUGUUGGGUUAAGUCCCGUAACGAGCGAAACCCUUGUCGCUAGUUGCCAGCGGGUAAUGCCGGGGACUCUAGCGAGACUGCCGGUGUCAAACCGGAGGAAGGUGGGGAUGACGUCAAGUCCUCAUGGCCUUUAUGCCCAGGGCUGCAAACGUGCUACAAUGGCCGAGACAAAACGACGCAAGACCGCGAGGUGGAGCUAAUCGGAAAAAAUCGGCCUCAGUUCGGAUUGGAGUCUGCAACUCGACUCCAUGAAGUUGGAAUCGCUAGUAAUCGCGUAUCAGCCACGACGCGGUGAAUGUGUUCCUGAGUCUUGUACACACCGCCCGUCAAGUCAUGGAAGCCGGGAGCGCCCGAAGU
This 1382-nucleotide ribosomal RNA is filed under the name uncultured organism. Its description in RNAcentral is "16S ribosomal RNA". It matches the Rfam family "Bacterial small subunit ribosomal RNA", at positions 93 to 1427 of the family's 1533-position model. The record is from RNAcentral.